UCCGCUGCCGCCGAGAUGCGCUAUGUUGCCUCUUACCUGCUGGCUGCCCUCGGGGGCAAUACCUCCCCCAGCACCAAGGACAUCAAGAAAAUCCUGGACAGCGUGGGCAUCGAGGCGGACGACGACCGGCUCAACAAGGUCAUUAGUGAGCUGAACGGAAAAAACAUUGAAGCUGUCAUCGCGCAGGGCAUUGGCAAGCGGGCCAGUGUUCCUGCCGGUGGGGCUGCAGUCGUCUCCGCUGCCCCAGGAGCUGCAGCUCCUGCUGCUGGUUCUGCCCUGGCUGCAGCAGAGGAGAAGAAAGACGAAAAGAAGGAGGAGUCGGUUGACGACAUGGGAUUUGGCUUGCUUGAUUAGAGUCCUGUGCCCCUG
Hipposideros armiger (great roundleaf bat) is the source of this 369-nucleotide RNA transcript. It is a transcript of the gene named 60S acidic ribosomal protein P2 pseudogene, with no coding region annotated. The record is from RefSeq and is a predicted model, not a curated record. Lineage: Eukaryota; Metazoa; Chordata; Mammalia; Chiroptera; Hipposideridae. The transcript has a single exon.